AGAACGCUGGCGGCGUGCUUAACACAUGCAAGUCGAACGGAGAUUAUUUUAAGCUUGCUUUUGAUGAUCUUAGUGGCAAACGGGUGAGUAACGCGUAGACAACCUGCCUUUCCGAUGGGGACAACAGUUCGAAAGGACUGCUAAUACCGAAUGACGUGUCUCCUCCGCAUGGAAGAGAUACCAAAGACGGCCUCUAUUUAUAAGCUGUCGCGGAAAGAUGGGUCUGCGUCUGAUUAGCUGGUUGGAGGGGUAACGGCCCACCAAGGCGACGAUCAGUAGCCGGUCUGAGAGGAUGAACGGCCACAUUGGGACUGAGAAACGGCCCAAACUCCUACGGGAGGCAGCAGUGGGGAAUCUUCCGCAAUGGACGAAAGUCUGACGGAGCAAUGCCGCGUGAGUGAAGAAGGUCUUCGGAUCGUAAAGCUCUGUUGUACGGGACGAAUGUUGAAGGCGUGAAUAAUGCCAUUAAAUGACGGUACUGUACGAGGAAGCCACGGCUAACUACGUGCCAGCAGCCGCGGUAAUACGUAGGUGGCGAGCGUUGUCCGGAAUUAUUGGGCGUAAAGGGAGCGCAGGUGGGAAGGUAAGUCUGUUUUAAAAGCGUCGGGCUCAACCCGAUGAGGGAACAGAAACUAUUUUUCUUGAGUGCAGGAGAGGAAAGCGGAAUUCCUAGUGUAGCGGUGAAAUGCGUAGAUAUUAGGAGGAACACCAGUGGCGAAGGCGGCUUUCUGGACUGUAACUGACACUGAGGCUCGAAAGCCAGGGGAGCGAACGGGAUUAGAUACCCCGGUAGUCCUGGCCGUAAACGAUGGAUACUAGGUGUAGGGGGUAUCGACCCCUUCUGUGCCGGAGUUAACGCAAUAAGUAUCCCGCCUGGGGAGUACGAUCGCAAGAC
This 895-nucleotide ribosomal RNA is filed under the name uncultured Selenomonas sp. RNAcentral's name for it is "bacterial SSU rRNA". It matches the Rfam family "Bacterial small subunit ribosomal RNA", at positions 30 to 894 of the family's 1533-position model. The record is from RNAcentral. Lineage: Bacteria; Bacillati; Bacillota; Negativicutes; Selenomonadales; Selenomonadaceae.